This 539-nucleotide long non-coding RNA is filed under the name Rattus norvegicus (Norway rat). Its description in RNAcentral is "long non-coding RNA NONRATT007929". The record is from RNAcentral. Lineage: Eukaryota; Metazoa; Chordata; Mammalia; Rodentia; Muridae.
AUGAACAUAUGCACAGAGAACAUGCUCAUGCUUUUUCAAAGAGUGGAGAUUGGGAUUCGAAACCUUUGCAGGCAUGUGUGCGUGUGUGCGUGCGUGCGUGCGUGCGUGCCUGUUCCUCAUAUUGGAUGGUGAAUAGGCAUGCAGGAGAAGUCACGAUUAAAGUGGCAAAACUGUGUGCAAAUACACAAGCCCCUAGGGGUUCUUACAGGCUGAUCGCUGACAACCAGUGGGGGUGUUGCCAGUUGCAUCCUGGACUCACAAAGCAGACAUGCACUUUGCUAAGAACAGACUCUUGCGUCAUCUAAUGGAUCAAAAUGAAGGAUGGAUGAUUUUUGAGUCAGGAGGGUGAAAGCACCUGAAUGCCCUGUAAGUGCUACCUGCCUUUUACCUCUGCAAAAGCACUGCUUUAUUGGAAAUGAUCAUUUCCUAAAACAAAGCCGGAACAGUAGGAGCUUUGGGUUUUGUACAAAGCUACCCUGAAAGUCAGUCUAGCUCAUCUCCUGCUGGUGAAAUAAAUGCUGGAGAGCCUCCCUUCAGAA